UCUCCCCCGCCGGGUGCGCCCCCCGGGCCGCGGUUUCCCGCGCGGCGUCUCGCCUCUGCCGGCGCCUAGCAGCCGACUUAGAACUGGUGAGGACCAGGGGAAUCCGACUGUUUAAUUAAAACAAAGCAUCGCGAAGGCCCGCGACAAGCCUUGGAGAUGCUUUGU
Molecule: long non-coding RNA, 165 nt
Organism: Dipodomys spectabilis (banner-tailed kangaroo rat)
Lineage: Eukaryota; Metazoa; Chordata; Mammalia; Rodentia; Heteromyidae
Exons: 3
Source: RefSeq, a predicted model, not a curated record